Molecule: ribosomal RNA, 429 nt
Filed under: Triticum aestivum (bread wheat)
Lineage: Eukaryota; Viridiplantae; Streptophyta; Magnoliopsida; Poales; Poaceae
Description: partial small subunit ribosomal RNA
Source: RNAcentral
AUGGCGAAGGGCGGGCUGAGCAGCAAGCUCAAGUGCAUGAUCAGGCGGUGGCACUCGUCGAGCCGGAUCUCGCGCACGCCCUCGGCGGCGUCGCACGGCGGCGGCGGCGGCGAGGAGGAGGACCCGUGGGGCCGCGGUGUCGGCGGCGGCGCGGCGUCGUUCCACGGCGCCGACAGCGUGCCCCCGGGCCUCCACCCGGUCUACGUCGGCAAGUCGCGCCGCCGCUACCUCAUCGCCGCCGACCUCGUCUGCCACCCGCUGUUCCAGAACCUCGUGGACCGCUCGGGCGGCGGCGUGGGCGGCGACGGCGCCGGCGGCACCAUCAUCGGCUGCGAGGUGGUGCUGUUCGAGCACCUCCUGUGGAUGCUGGAGAACGCGGACCCGCAGCCCGAGUCGCUGGACGAGCUCGUCGAGUACUACGCGUGUUGA